CUCCAGCCCAGCUUGGCCAGCCUCCCCGCUCUGACAGCUCUUAAAGGGAAAGUCCCAGACUCCACAGGUGAUGUUAAGCUGAAGGGAGUCUGUGUCUUUCUGUGUCUCCGUUCUGUGUGAUGAGGAACAACUAUGCUGCUGCUGACUGCCAAGGCUGGGCAUGACCUCCUCACGGCAAGGCAGGCAUCAAUCUCCUCUGUCUCUCACAGAGGCAAAUACCAGAAAGGCACUAGGGUCUGGAUCUACAAGUGUGCUGGGGCUCCUGAGCUCUGGGCUCUGAAAUACUCACAGGAGGAAGCACUUGUGGCUCAGAGGUCCUGCAGACUUGCUGAAAGAGCUGGGCACAUGCCGCAUCUUGGCUUCUGGCUGCUUUGACUUGGCAGCAGCUAGCAGAUCUUCCCUCUGUGAGCGCCCUGGUCUCAAGAGGAACACAGGAGUCAGGUCCAGCCUCUCUGAUGCUAUCACUGAAACUACUUACUGAUACCGUUUUAUUGAAACCUAAGGGAACUGGGAAGCCAUCGGCUCUGCACCAUGCUGUGUGCUGGGUAAGACCCAUUGCCUGUUGCUUGUGGAUGUGGCACUUUGGUGACACCUGGAGUGCCUAGAAGGUGACCUAUGGAGAUCAGAGCAGCCAACAAUUCCCUCUGUCCUCCCUAAAACGCCCCCCUUCUCAAAUUCUCUCCAGCUGCCUGAGCAAUGGCUCAAAAUAAAUCUUGAAUGGUCUUUCUGAAAGCCCACAGGCACAUGUCCUCUGUUGACCCCUCUGCUCUCAUCCUCACUACACUCGGUGCUCCCCCCCACCAUGGUCCUGUCUUCUUGUGGGGUAGCCAUUUUCUUAACUUGAAACACUCCCUCCUACAGGAAGGAGCAGCAACUUAUGCAAUUGACUUAAAAAGCUCAGGAGACCCAGAAAGCCACAAGGCCCCUCCCCAGGGUUCUCUGAGCAAGGACAACUGCUGGGAGGGGAGUGUGUCAGUCCCCAGAGGCCACCUGCAAGCCAUGCUGGGGGUUCCAGGAAUGCAGCUUCCAUGAGUCAUCAUCAUCGAGUCAUCGUCAUCCAUGCCGGGGUGGGCUUUUUGGUGAUGCAGCUGUUUUUAAGUUCUGUAACUAACCACAAUAAACUCACUGGUUUACCAGGCUAGACUUGGGGAAGAAUUGCUUCUUUAGUCUUUUCAUGGACAUCCUGCCUCUCAGCCUGAAAAUGCAUCAGGAGUUUGUCUUCUAUAUUGGGUGCAUCAUGCACCCCCAAAACCUAUGCCUGGGAGCAUCUCAACUUGGAAAUCUGGAUUUUUAAUUGAUGUUAUUACUUUAGGAUUUUAAAAAUUAUCUUGGAUUGAAGUUGGGCCCUAAAUCCCACACUGCUCUCCUUAGAAGUUGGGACGAGGGCACAGAGUCACACAAAGAGGAAGUUCUGUGAAGAUGGAGAUACAAAUGAAAUGACACAGCUGUGAGCCCAGAGAUGUCAAAGGUGACAUCUACAGACGCCAGAGAAAGAAGCAGGCUUGUUCUCUCCCAUCAGAGACUGCUAAGGAGCCAGCCCUGACAGCAAGAACUGACCAAGCAAGCCUGGCUACUGUCUGAAGACAUGAAAACAGGCUGAGGUGCAGAGAGCCUGGGAGUGGUCAGACAUUGCAUCCCAAAUGGAGAAAAGCAUCUAUUCCCAAAGACUAGUGCCCAGUUACAGAUGUUGCCCUGACUAGUCUCCUUGACCUGUGACCUCUGCAGUUUUGUGCUGUGUUCUCCAUGUUGUCUAGAUGUGGACUCCAAAAAUUACCUAUCUCUCUAUGUCUUUGAUUCUGUCUCCUUCUAUGUACACACACACACACACACACACACACACACGCAUGCACACACGAGAGAGAGCGAGCUUGAUGCCACUAGAGCCAUCACUCUCCUCUCUAGUCUCUUAGCCCAUGUAUCAUCUUUGGAGCCUCUCUCUUACAGUUUCUCUACACAUCCACCAUGAGUCCAUCUUUGUUUCUCAUUGUUGCACAAGAUUAUAAUAUCACCCUCAAAUGAGAAGCAAAGCCACUUCCUAUACAGCUUUGUUAAGAUGGUAUCCAUGCAGAUGGACUUAGUCUGUGUGGCACCAGGAACAGCGGCCUCUCUCUCUACCUUUUUAUUCAAAUCCAUAAGCCUUACCUACAAUUGUACACACUUUAUGUAAUUACAAUUCUUGUUCUCCCUAUCUGAGUAUGCACUUCAAUAGGGAGGGGCUUCUCUGUUUCCAGUGUUAAGACUGUGCUGUCUCAGGGCAAAGCACAUUACAAGAACUCAGUGGAGAUCAGAUGCUAGAAUGAGUGAGUGAAUGAAUGAAUGAAUGAAUGGGUUGAUGGAUGUAUGUGUGGGUUGAUGGAUGGAUGGGUGGGUGAAUGAAUGGAUGAAUGAAUUCUGGUGCCAACUAGAUCUUUAACAAUUUCAUUGUACUACCCAGUAGAUGAUCAGGACCCCAACUAAUUAUAGAUUCAGUGCUUAUAUCUGGGUGAAAGACAUGUCAGAUUAGCAAGAUGGGUCCUGACUGAGGAACUUUGGUGUCUAUACACGGCCUUAUUCCUAUCUGGCAUCACUACACUAGCCUGCCCACUCUGCCUUUAACACUGGUGAAGGCCAUUACCCUCCUGUCCUGUUGAUGCCUUCUCCAGCCCACCCAGGGCCGUGGUUGAGCUCUGCCUAACCCUUCAGACCCCCUCUACCCAGGCCUUUCAUUCUCCUAUCAAGCCUGAGGCAGCCCUUGCCCAUGGCUCACAACGUGCAGAUCUUGUGUCCCUCCCAUGCCUUACCACUGUGAGUUCACUCACAAGUCAUGUGUAAUUUCAGAGAUAAUGGAAGAUUUAUUCCUGCCUGUGAGGAGAAACUCGUGGCUAGUUGGAGACUCCCUAAACCCACAGAGGGCCUCAGGCUUCCAUCCCUCUAGCCCUGUGUUUCUGGGAUCCCGGUGGUUUUACUUGCCUGCUGCAAGUGAUGAACAGACAUCUCAGGAAUGUGGUACAAACCAGUGUCAGCCUUGUUCAUACACAUGGCCCAGAGGUGGAACUCAGGCUCAGAUGCACUGCUUAGCACACUCAUUCAUCUCACAGAUACAAGCCUGAGCUCAAGGAAAGCUUGGGCCAAAUUAAUAAGGAGGUUAUACUCCAAGUUUACUUUCAUAGUCAAUUGGGAACUGAAGGCAAGAGGAUAAAGGAGGCCUGAGUGGCAUUAUUAAUGAGUAUCAGACAGACGUGGGAUCCUGUCCUACUCUGAACCAUCAGUUGUUUGUGACUUCCUGGGUGUUAGUCAACUGUUCUGAGAUGCAAUAUUCUUAUCUGCAGAGAGCACUCACAUCACAGAAGCUGCUGGAAAGCUUACAUGAGAAGAUCAACAGCGUUCAACACAGUUGGCCUUUCAAAUCCAAUGAUCUUUGAUACCCAAAGGGAAGGCUGUUGUUCUCAUUUUACUGAGAAAGGUUAAGUAGGCUGAUCAGAUCACAUAGCAAAUGUAUGGUAGAACUAGAAUCUGAAGUUCCAAUCUUAUUAACUUAUCAGCAUCACUGUAACUGUGAAUAUCCAUUCAAUAGAGAUUGGUUCCUUGAAUGCACCAAAUUCCU
Mus musculus (house mouse) is the source of this 3583-nucleotide long non-coding RNA. RefSeq annotates it as predicted gene, 46514. The record is from RefSeq and is a predicted model, not a curated record. The transcript has 4 exons. Lineage: Eukaryota; Metazoa; Chordata; Mammalia; Rodentia; Muridae.